GUACGGCGAGNNNNNGGAAGAGCUCAAAGUUGGAACCUGUUUGGCCUAGCUAAACNNNNNNNNNGNNNNUAGAAGUGUUUUCCAGGCAAGCCGAGUAAAUAAGUCCUUUGGAACAGGGCAUCAUAGAGGGUGAGAAUCCCGUCUUUGGCUUGAGCAUUUGCCUUUUGUGAUACGCUUUCAAAGAGUCAGGUUGUUUGGGAAUGCAGCCUAAAUUGGGUGGUAAAUCUCACCUAAAGCUAAAUAUUGGCGAGAAACCGAUAGCGAACAAGUACCGUGAGGGAAAGAUGAAAAGAACUUUGAAAAGAGAGUUAAACAGUAUGUGAAAUUGUUAAAAGGGAACCGUUUGGAGCCAGACUGGCUUGUCUGUAAUCAAUCUAGGCUUCGGCCUGGAUGCACUUGCAGGCUAUGCCUGCCAACGACAAUUUGACUUGAGGGAAAAAACUAGGGGAAAUGUGGCCCACUUGUGGGUGUUAUAGUCCCUUAGAAAAUACCUUGGGUUGGAUUGAGGAACGCAGCGAAUGCUUAUUGGCGAGUUUUCCAGGAAGGUUUUCUGAGGUACUACGGUAUCAAGGUUGAUCUUUUUGGUUAUACUUCUAUUCGCUUAGGUUGUUGGCUU
This 616-nucleotide ribosomal RNA is filed under the name Rhizopus arrhizus. Its description in RNAcentral is "Rhizopus oryzae partial large subunit ribosomal RNA". It matches the Rfam family "Eukaryotic large subunit ribosomal RNA", at positions 83 to 632 of the family's 3401-position model. Lineage: Eukaryota; Fungi; Mucoromycota; Mucoromycetes; Mucorales; Rhizopodaceae. The record is from RNAcentral.